AUGGCGCUGCGGGAUAGCUCCUGGGUACCCGGGAGAGAGAGAUGUGAGAGGAAGAGAGAAAAGAGAAAGGAGAAAGGGAGGAAGAACGGGGGGACAAGGGGAAGGAAGAAGGAUGAGGUGCAGGGCUUGCUGGUUCGGUGGAGAUUGUCGCCGUUGGCGUCUAGUACUCGGGCCAGGCGGCGCUGGUGGAUCGAGGUGCUCGGGGAUGAGCGAGCAGAGGAGGGGAUCGAUGGAUUUGGAAGGAGUGCAUUGGUUGGGUGGCGGCGAAAAUCAAGGGAGAGGGUCGGAAAGAAUUUGGAUCGGGAGGAGAUCUCGAGGUGGGAUGGUGAGUGGUAG
RNAcentral lists this ribosomal RNA (336 nucleotides) under Triticum aestivum (bread wheat). RNAcentral describes it as "partial small subunit ribosomal RNA". Lineage: Eukaryota; Viridiplantae; Streptophyta; Magnoliopsida; Poales; Poaceae. The record is from RNAcentral.